This 495-nucleotide ribosomal RNA is filed under the name uncultured bacterium. RNAcentral's name for it is "partial 16S ribosomal RNA". It matches the Rfam family "Bacterial small subunit ribosomal RNA", at positions 28 to 507 of the family's 1533-position model. The record is from RNAcentral.
GACGAACGCUGGCGGCGUGCCUAAUACAUGCAAGUAGAACGCUGAAGGAGGAGCUUGCUCUUCUGGAUGAGUUGCGAACGGGUGAGUAACGCGUAGGUAACCUGCCUGGUAGCGGGGGAUAACUAUUGGAAACGAUAGCUAAUACCGCAUAAGAGUAGAUGUUGCAUGACAUUUGCUUAAAAGGUGCAAUUGCAUCACUACCAGAUGGACCUGCGUUGUAUUAGCUAGUUGGUGGGGUAACGGCUCACCAAGGCGACGAUACAUAGCCGACCUGAGAGGGUGAUCGGCCACACUGGGACUGAGACACGGCCCAGACUUCUACGGGAGGCAGCAGUAGGGAAUCUUCGGCAAUGGACGGAAGUCUGACCGAGCAACGCCGCGUGAGUGAAGAAGGUUUUCGGAUCGUAAAGCUCUGUUGUAAGAGAAGAACGAGUGUGAGAGUGGAAAGUUCACACUGUGACGGUAGCUUACCAGAAAGGGACGGCUAACUACGUG